Molecule: long non-coding RNA, 1601 nt
Organism: Myotis myotis
Lineage: Eukaryota; Metazoa; Chordata; Mammalia; Chiroptera; Vespertilionidae
Exons: 4
Source: RefSeq, a predicted model, not a curated record
UUGGAUGGAAGGAGGGAUGGCAGAGGUCCUAGGUGAUACUCUGCCUCCUCCUCAGCUCCCCUGUAGGGAGGACUCCAGAGAAACCACUACCAGCCUUAGGCAUGUCUUAAAGCCCCUCCUCACCCUGGGAACCAGGAACCUCACCCUCCACACCCCUGCUCUCAGCCCAGGAUCUUGGCUACACCUGCCAUACCAUAGGCACUGCCCCGCUGGGGAAGGGUUCCUGCGAACGGUUAGCACUUGGAUGUUGGCACCAACCAAUGCAGCUCUAUCCCUGAUGUCCCUCCACACCACCCCCAUCUCAGAGCCCUGCCACCCAGAACUUCACCCCCGAUCUGCUACCCAGAGUGUCUCCUGCCUUCUCAGCAGAGGCCACCUCUAGGCCCAGAAUGCAGAGGAAGGGAGACAUGUGCCCUCAUCCCAGCUCCUCAGGGAUCGAAGAUUGGGGAGGAUCCCAACAAGCCAGCAAAGAAAGGAGAUGAGCAGGUCAGCUUUCAAGUGUUGCCAAGAGCUGGCAUGGUGUGAUCCCUCAAUUGGCAAUUACUGAAGUAUCCUCACUGCUACAAAGUGCUCCUUCCCAGCUGCCAUCCUUGUAGCAGCCCAGACAUCAGGCAUCAUCCAGAAAUCCCAACUGCUCUCCGGUCCAGAAGCCCACUUGGGCUGCACUCCUGCCUCCUGUUAUAUCACUAACGGAAGAAGAGACAGCAAACACAUGGAAACCUGAGCCUUGAAUCGGAUCAUCAGACCCCAAAGGGAGGUCUGGAGCGAUAAGGUCGGAAAAAACGGGGCCCAGAUUAUCCAGUUUGGCUUUUUCCACUGAUGCAGCUUGGCGUCAUGUUCCUACUAUCUUCUAAAGAAUAUAAAUAUAUGUCUACUAUCUCCUACAUGUGACCUCUUCCUUCUGUAACUUCCUGCUCAAUAGGUCACCGCUUCUGAUCUUAUCAAUUCCAAACCCCUCCUGCCCUUGCCCUCAAGGCCUUCCGCACACAGUCCACGCCAGCUCACUCUGCUCUGGCCUGACAGGUCUCACAGUCCCACCCCACACCCUCCUUCAGGCUGUGCCCCUAGGAGAUGCCUCCCUCCUCCUUUCGCCCACCCAGGACCUCCACCUUCGAAAGCUCAGAUCAAGCCCCACUCGUUCUGCAAGGCCUCCCUCACCACAGCAACCCCCGCUUGACCUCUUCCACCACAGCUUGAGAUUUCACUUCCUCCCACACUAUUCAGUCUGUAAUUACAGUCAUCAUCGUUGACCUGCCAUGAAUAUUCAUUGCCUGUCAUAACAACCAGGACUCUACUCCCUGAAUCAUGGCCCCAAGGACAGAGGACAUAAAGACCACCUGCUUGCAGAUUCUCAAGCACGUGGGAGCAAGUCUCUGCCUGUUUCAAUUCUGACUCAAAGGACAGGUUCACAACAAUUUUAUUUGUGAACGGCAUGUUCUCCAGAACGUUCCCAAUGCAGAGCCAAUCUGCCACCAUCCAAAGAAGCACAUCCCAUAAAUAAUGACUAAUGUGUUUGACAAACCAGGGGUAGCUUCUGGUAUGUGCUGUUCACAGGUAUUAGAGCAGCGAUUUUCAACUGGUGUGCCGCAAGAAUUUUUGAA